Molecule: ribosomal RNA, 253 nt
Filed under: uncultured bacterium
Lineage: Bacteria
Description: partial 16S ribosomal RNA
Rfam family: Bacterial small subunit ribosomal RNA
Source: RNAcentral
UACGUAGGGUGCUAGCGUUGUCCGGAUUUAUUGGGCGUAAAGGGCUCGUAGGCGGUCUGUCACGUCGGCUGUGAAAUCCCGAGGCUCAACCUCGGGUCUGCAGUCGAUACGGGCAAACUAGAGUAUUGCAGGGGAGACUGGAAUUCCUGGUGUAGCGGUGAAAUGCGCAGAUAUCAGGAGGAACACCGGUGGCGAAGGCGGGUCUCUGGGCAAUAACUGACGCUGAGGAGCGAAAGCGUGGGGAGCGAACAGG